GGUGGCUCAGUGGUAGAGUGCUUGCCUCUCAUGCAAGUGGCGCUGUGUUCAAUUCCUCAGCACCA
This 65-nucleotide transfer RNA is filed under the name Dipodomys ordii (Ord's kangaroo rat). It matches the Rfam family "tRNA". From Rfam's summary of the family: Transfer RNA (tRNA) molecules are approximately 80 nucleotides in length. The record is from Rfam by way of RNAcentral. Lineage: Eukaryota; Metazoa; Chordata; Mammalia; Rodentia; Heteromyidae.